Long non-coding RNA from Lolium rigidum, 1388 nucleotides. RefSeq lists it as uncharacterized. The transcript is spliced from 5 exons. Lineage: Eukaryota; Viridiplantae; Streptophyta; Magnoliopsida; Poales; Poaceae. The record is from RefSeq and is a predicted model, not a curated record.
AGGAUUGGCACCACGGCUGCCCCGGACUCCGAGCGUCGAUCUGCUGCGUCUCCAGCCUCCGACGAGGCCCCACGAGCCUCCUACCCCUCCGCCCGUAUCCCCUGUUUCUCCCAUUCGACAGGGUUCUUUUGAAGGAUCACCUGUUCUUCAGGGAAACUACUGAUACCAUAGGUGUAACAAUAAAGUUGCACGGCAUGUGAUUUUUGGCCUUCCGCCCCGGCGCCACCUCCCCUUCGCUGAGCGCGGCGUCUGCGACAGUGGAAGGAGGACGAUGAAGGGAACGGGGCUUGCCAUAGAGCCGACGCAGCAGAGGUCAUUGCCUCUCACUUGGUCUCCUCCACCAAAUUCGGCGGCAAGGGCGCUCGGAUCUGCAGAAGAAGCCGUCGAGAAGAUGGGAGCAUUACAUGGAGGUAGCAGAGCUACAAAAGAAGUUCCAAGAAGAGGAAAAAACUAUACAAGGCUAACUUUGUUAGGCCUGCAGAUCCUGGAGUGUUGUGUCAGCGGGAGGUCUAGCAUGUAAGGGAAGCCGGCGUAGUGCCCUGGCACCAGCCAACAUCCACAAUUUGGCUUCCUGAAGGAUCGGAUCGACAGAACCAGGUUAUGCCUGUUUGGUGUUGUCUUUUUGAAGAUUGCAUAGUGAUCGUUGGUGAAAUUGCUUAUUUUGUUGCUUAUGCAUUUGCUCCUGCUAGUCUUGUAAUUCACCUUGAAACACUCAGUAUUUAUCAUCAGGUACAGUCAUUACAAUUCUGUAGAAAACUAUUAAUAAUGUGUUUUAGCUUGCUUCUGAUUAAACUGCAGUCACAGUCCAUUCUAAAUGUCUGAAGUACUGCACUUACCCAUUCCAUUCUACAGGAGAAACUGCACACCUUUGGUAUACCUGGGUGUUUUCUUUGUGUAGUUGGAUUGAUCACAAUUGACUCCAUGCUCCACUGGAGCGUGAUAUUGAUUCCGCAAGGGAAGUUUGGGAUCUUGUAACUGAGCCAGAUAUACCAGAAAAAACAAGCUGGUUAGAAUAUUUGUCCAUCAAACGAUUCAAGAGGAGGGAGAGGAGGUGAUAAAGGAAUCAAUUGAGGAGCGAGGCAACCUAUUCCUAUGGACUGAUGCUGAUCGUUAGCGAAAAUCAUUUUAGCAAGUUUGAGUACAAAUUGGCCUUUUAAGGUUGAUGACUUGCAUCUCGUCAGUUUGACGACUCUUAACACAUUUCACUGUUUAGUUAAUCAGGCACUGUUAUAGUUUGAUUUUCUUAGCAGUACACAGUAUUUGUUUCUUGUGAUUAGUAUCUUUGUUGUCAUUGAAGUAUAAGGAGAGGCAAACACUGUUUUUGCCCUAGGUACAUUUUUCUUUGUUUGUGUCAACCAUUUAAUAUGAUAUCAUCUCUCAAGGUAGGU